AAGGAAAAAUAAGAGAAGAUCUUUCUUUCUCUCUCUUCAUUCAUUCUCUCUGAAUCAACUUAGGGUUUUCAUUUCAAUUUCAUCAAAUCAAGCUCGAUUUCGAGCUUAACAUGGUAUCAGACCCAGGUUUCUGGUAGAGUUCGAUGUGCGUUUUCAACCGAUACUACCAUCAAAUGGAGUUUCUCAAGUUUUCGUGAUGGUAGAAACUCGUUCAUCACAGAAUUAGUGAUGCACAAGACCUGUUCUUCUUUAGGGAUAAGAGAAAGACUGGUAAUCCCUUUCCAAAUCUCUUAUAUCUGAGGUGAAACUUCUCAUAUCGUGUUCGUAUAUUCUGAUUUUUGUGGAUAUUCAUCUAUUGUAUGUGUAUUGUAAGGAUUUCACUCAGUAUGUUGCACAUCUUGGUGUAUUGGUGUACUCUACUGUAGUUUGUGGGUAUAUCUGCGUAUUAUUUUGUGUAUCUUGGUGUAUUUGUGCACUCUACUGUAGUUCGUGGGUAUAUCUGCGUAUUAUUUUGUGUAUCUUGGUGUAUUUAUGCACUCUACUGUAGUUCGUGGGUAUAUCUGCGUAUUUGACAUGGCAAACCCUACUAAUGGGAAUUCAAACACUACAAAUAGGACUUCAACGACACAUACUGGGUUUAAGGAUUUCACUCUGGAUCCCUCACACCCGUAUUAUAUACAUCCCUCUAAGAAUCCUACAUCUCAAGUAGUUCCUCUCAUCUUCAAUGGGAAUGGUUAUGCUAUUUGGAGAAAUAGUAUGAUCACUUUACUAUCAGCCAAGAAUAAGUUAGGUAUGGUGAAUGGUAUAUUUUCUAGACCUGAGCCCAACAAUCCUUACUUCUUUUUCUGGGAGAGAUACGACCACAUGGUCAAAGCAUGGAUCAUUAAUUCUUUGACUAGAGAGAUAACUGUCAGUGUAAUGUGUCUGUCCAGUGCUAGAGAUGUAUGGAAAGACAUAAGUGAUAGAUUUGGGCAAUCAAACGGGUCUAGGUACAUACAUAUUUAGAGAGAAAUCAAUUCUACAGUUCAAGGUUCUUCUAUGUUGGACCCAAAUGUACUUGUGGAGUAUUGAGCAAAUUCAUCCAAGAUCAACAAUUGUUUCAAUUCCUCAGUGGAUUAAAUAAGACAUAUAAUACUAUUGGAGCAAUACUCUGAUGAUGACACCUUUACCAUCAAUUGGCAAAGUAUAUGGACUCCUUCAGCAAGAUGAGAGUCAAAAGAAAACCCAGCCUGGAAUUCCUAAUUUCUCCAGUGACUCAGUCUCAUUUCAUGUCUCAACUCACACUCCUAAAAUCUUCAAUCAGAAGGUUUCUUUCAAUUCUAACAAGACUCAAAAUGUGCCUGUAACAUGCAAGUAUUGCAAGAAAACUGGGCACACUAUUGAAUCAUAUUACAGACUCCAUGGAUUUCCAGCUGAUUUCAAGUUCACAAAGAACAAGAAACCAGCUGCUUCUUGUGUGCAAGGGAUGCCUAACACUGGUCCAUCUAGUGUCACAUCUACCCCUACUGCAUCACCUUUACAGGACUCACCCCAUGGUUUUACUAAAGAACAAUACAAUCAUCCCAUGACUUUGUUCCAACAAGCUAAAGUAUUUUCUCAUGGUCAUGAACAACCACCUGCUACUGGUGAAGCAUCUAGCUUUGCAAAUUUUGCAGGUUUAUCAAAUAGCUCUGUGUUUGCUUCUGAUGGUUAUAGUGCAUAUAGAUCCUCAGACUUAGGAAUAAAUCCUUGGAUUUAGACUCGGGUGCUUCAAACCAUAUGACUACUCAUUAGCAUUUAUUACACAACUUACAACCUCUCCCCAUUCCUUUUCUAAUCACUCUACCUAAUGUAUAUAAAGUUAAGGUGAUAUCUACUGGUUCUCUAUAUCUGAGAGAUGACAUUACCUUACAAAAUGUCCUACUAGUCCCUUCAUUCCAGUUCAAUCUUCUUUUUGCAUUUCAACUUCUUAAUCAAUUAAAAUACUUAGCAGUUUUUUCCACUUCUGCUUGUCAAUUGCAGGGCCCUUCUCUGAAGAAGCCACUGGAAAUUGGUAAAGCUUCAGAUGGGCUGUAUUACUACUACACUGACAGCAUUCUACCAUCAGUUCCCAUUUCUUUUUGUUCUGAUUUCUCCAAUAUUCAAAAUAAUGUACAGUUUUCUAGUGAUAAAAAUUUUCUACUGUCUUGUAAUUCUUCCUGCAAUAAUAAUGACAUGGUUCUGUUUUGGCACCAAAGGUUAGGCCAUAUUCCUUACCACAAGAUGAGACUUAUUCCUUUCCUGUAUUCUAAACUACCUUCUCAUAAAAAUGUUUUGUGUGAUAUUUGUCCUAAAGCAAGGUAACAAAGACUUUCUUUCCUCAUAGUGAUAUUCAUACCACAGUCCCUUUUCAAUUAGUAAAUAUAGAUAUAUGGGGUCCUUACCACACUAGAACUUUCAAUGGUUUUAGAUACUUCCUUACAGUAGUAGAUGACUUCACAAGAGUUACAUGGACACAUCUACUUUCCUGCAAAAACAAUGCUUUACCUAUUUUUAAGGCUUUUGUUUCCAGGGUAAAAGUACAUUUUCAUACCUCUGUUCAGUUUUUUAGGUCUGAUAAAGCUUAUGAAUUAGGAAGUAGUACAGAAGCUGCUUCUUUCUUUGCAGAAAAUGGCAUUCUUUAUCAAUUAACCAUUCCUCACACACCACAACAAAAUGGUGUUGUGGAAAGGAAACACAAACACCUACUUGAAACCUCCAGAGCUUUACUUUUUCAAUCUCAUCUUCUACUCAAAUACUGGGGUGAUUGUAUUUUGAAAGCUACCUACCUAAUUAAUAGACUUCCUUCCUCAGUAUUGAACAAACUUUCACCCUAUGAGAAUCUUCAUGGAACCCCUCCCUCUUAUGGUCAUCUCAAAUCAUUUGGUUGUUUAUGCUAUGCUCAUUCUUCCACUAUUGGGAAAGAUAAAUUCCAACCCAGAUCUUUGGCUUGUGUUUUUAUUGGAUACCCUUGUGGAAAGAAGGGAUAUAAAUUGCUCAACCUUACCGCUCAUUCUAUCUUCUUCUCCAGAGAUGUUAUUUUCCAUGAACAUUUCUUUCCUUACUCCUCUUCUAUCCCUCCUUAUCCUUAUGAACCUAGUGUUUCUGUUCUGGAUAUACCUCCACCUUCUUACACCAUUUCUAUUUCUUUUGAAUCUCCUGUUUCUUCUGAACAACAACACCCUUCUCCUUCUGUUGUUCCCCCUGUUAGAAGGUCCUCCAAAUCCUACUUUAUCCCUUCUUACUUAUCAGAUUAUGUCUGCAAUUCAAUAUCCAAGGUUUCCUCUAUUAAGGCUCCUAUACUUGAACCUCAGGUCUAUCAUCAGGAUAUUUUUCAUCCUGCCUGGCAGGAUGCCAUGCUUCAAGAAUUUCAUGCUCUUGAAGCAAGUAACACUUGGGAUAUAGUUCCCUUGCCUCCUCACAAGAAACCCAUUUCAAGUAAGUGUGUCUACAAAAUUAAACACAAGUCUGAUGGCUCUGUGGAAAGAUACAAAGCUAGACUAGUUAUUUGAGGUGAUACUCAACAGGAGGGCAUUGACUACACUAAGACUUUCUCUCAUGUGGUUAAAUUCUCCACCAUUAAAGUCCUUCUCUUUAUUGUUGUCAAGAAAAAUUGGACUGUUUAUCAACUUGAUGAGAAUAAUUCUUUCCUUCAUGGUGAUCUCCAUGAAGAGGUGUACAUGAAGCCUCCUCUUGGCAUGGCAUUUUCUUCUUCUGUGCCUACUUUUGCACCUUUGAUUUGCAAGUUAAACAAGUCUUUAUAUGACCUCAAGCAGGACUCCAGACAGUGGUUUUCCAAGCUGUCUGAUGCAUUAUCCCUUUGUGGCUAUUCAUCCAGUAAGAAUGACUAUUCUUUAUUCACCAAAAGGGUUAAUAGACCCCUUACUGUUCUAGCUGUUUAUGUUGACAAUAUCCUUCUUGCUGGGGAUGAUAUAUCUGAGAUGGAUGAUUUGAAAUUAUUUCUGGACACACAGUUCAAGAUCAAGGAUCUUGGUUUAGUCCAUUAUUUUCUGGGUUUGGAAAUGUCUAUUCAUCCUAAAGGCUACCUUAUGACCCAGCAAAAAUUUACUUCUGAUCUAUUGGCUGAAUUCUAUUAUGAUCAGUUUUUCCCUGUCUCUGCUCCUCUUGAUGCUUCUCAGAAACUUACUACUGAUAUGGGGGCCCCUUUCACUGAUCCUUCUACUUUUUGUCACCUAGUUGGCAAACUGAAUUUUCUUCAGCACAUGAGGCCUGAUGUUUUUUUUGCUGUUCAGUAUUUGAGCCUGUUCUUGCAGGCUCAUCAGGUUCCUCACCUUAUGGCUGGCAUUCAUGUCUUGAAAUAUUUACUUAAUGCUCCUACCUUGGGGUUGCUGUUUAAUAACUCCUUGGAUUAUUCUUUGUUGGCUUACUUUGACUCUGAUUGGGCUGCGUGUGCUGAUUCACGCUGCUAAGUCAUUGGUUUUUUCAUUACUUUGGGUGGUUCUCUCAUAUCUUGGAAGAGCAAGAAGCAGCCUACCAUUGCUCUUUCAUCUGCUGAAGUUGAAUAUCAUGCUCUCCGCAAAGUUGUAGCUGAACUAUCAUGGUUGGUGCGUCUAUUACAUGAUUUUGAUAUUGAUGUUUCUAAUCCUGUUCCUGUAUAUUGUGACAGUCAGAUUGCUCUGUACAUAGCUUGAAAUCCAUUUUUUCAUGAACGUACCAAGCAUAUCGAGAUAGAUUGCCAUUUUGUUCGUGAUUGUAUUCAUUCUGGCCUUGUUUCUCUUCAGUUCAUCUCUUCUACAGACCAGCUAGCUGAUGUCUUCACUAAAUCACUGCCAGGUCCAGCUCAUCACAGUAUACUCAGCAAGCUUGGAGUGCUCAUCACAUCCUCCAGCUUGAGGGGAGGUGUUGGAGUUACGUAGUAAAUAUGUAUAUUGUUUGUGCAAUUCAUAUCACAAUGUAUAUGCUUGUAUUUUUGGUCUCAGUUGUUCAAUUGGGUUUAAUGCAUAAACUGGCCCAAUCUAUUGAUACAUACGAAUUAGGCCCAUUCAGUUGUAAGUUUCCAUGACCCGGUGCACUAUCACCAAGUAUAAAUAAUAGUGGACCAGUUCUGGAUAAUUUGAAGGAAAAAUAAGAGAAGAUCUUUCUUUCUCUCUCUUUGUUCAUUCUCUCUGAAUCAACUUAGGGUUUUCAUUUCAAUUUCAUCAAAUCAAGCUCGAUUUCGAGCUUAACAGGUCGAAGCCCAAGAAGCUUAGUGAGCUGAUAGUCGGCCCCAGGCAUGCCCACACCACUAGUAGUGCAAAACACCAAAUAUGUAAUCUUCGAUUUGGGCUGGCCUCAUUCUUCAAUAGCCUUUUGGGCUGCUUCUUUGCCAAGUUUUGGAAUUUCAACCACCACUAUAUCUUGCCUAGCAUCAAGAGAAGGAGCCAUGUAUUCACAAAUAUUAGGAUUUUCUUUUAGGAUUUCUUCUGUUAAAUGCAUAUAGCUCUUCUUUAUCAUUGAUUUAUCAUCUUCAUUAAGUGGAAAACUCAACUAAAGAAACAAUAAUCUGUGUACUUAAUUUUUUUUUUUUGAAAAAAUUAAAAAAAAUUGAAACUUUGGCUGAACAUAUAUGGGUUAAAUUAACAAAAAAACGAAGUGGG
Molecule: long non-coding RNA, 5594 nt
Filed under: Capsicum annuum
Lineage: Eukaryota; Viridiplantae; Streptophyta; Magnoliopsida; Solanales; Solanaceae
Description: long non-coding RNA (CANN_LNC008934)
Source: RNAcentral